UACGUAGGGUGCGAGCGUUGUCCGGAAUUAUUGGGCGUAAAGGGCUCGUAGGCGGUUUGUCGCGUCGGGAGUGAAAACCAGGUGCUUAACACCUGGCUUGCUUUCGAUACGGGCAGACUAGAGGUAUUCAGGGGAGAACGGAAUUCCUGGUGUAGCGGUGAAAUGCGCAGAUAUCAGGAGGAACACCGGUGGCGAAGGCGGUUCUCUGGGAAUGACCUGACGCUGAGGAGCGAAAGCGUGGGGAGUAAACAGG
RNAcentral lists this ribosomal RNA (253 nucleotides) under uncultured bacterium. RNAcentral describes it as "partial 16S ribosomal RNA". It matches the Rfam family "Bacterial small subunit ribosomal RNA", at positions 524 to 776 of the family's 1533-position model. The record is from RNAcentral.